This is a small nucleolar RNA of Ornithorhynchus anatinus (platypus), 139 nucleotides long. The record is from RefSeq and is a predicted model, not a curated record. Lineage: Eukaryota; Metazoa; Chordata; Mammalia; Monotremata; Ornithorhynchidae.
CCCCUCUCAGGGUCACACCUGGAAAGUUCCCAGUAACUCUACCAGUCUCGAUUACAGGAGGGAGAGUCAGGCAGAGGCCUAUCCAUUCCAUUCCUAGCUUGGGCAGUGGCUAGUGAGUGGAAAGCAAUCUGCUACAAGU